RNAcentral lists this ribosomal RNA (253 nucleotides) under uncultured bacterium. RNAcentral's name for it is "partial 16S ribosomal RNA". It matches the Rfam family "Bacterial small subunit ribosomal RNA", at positions 524 to 776 of the family's 1533-position model. The record is from RNAcentral.
UACGGAGGGUGCAAACGUUGCUCGGAAUCAUUGGGCGUAAAGCGCAUGUAGGCGGUUCGUUAAGUCGGAUGUGAAAGCCCUGGGCUUAACCGAGGAAGUGCAUACGAAACUGGCGAACUUGAGUACGGGAGAGGGUCACGGAAUUCCCGGUGUAGAGGUGAAAUUCGUAGAUAUCGGGAGGAACACCAGUGGCGAAGGCGGUGGCCUGGACCGAUACUGACGCUGAGAUGCGAAAGCGUGGGGAGCAAACAGG